GAGUUUGAUCCUGGCUCAGAUUGAACGCUGGCGGUAUGCUUAACACAUGCAAGUCGAACGGUAACAGGCCUUCGGGCGCUGACGAGUGGCGGACGGGUGAGUAACGCGUAGGAAUCUGCCUUAUAGUGGGGGACAACGUGGGGAAACCCACGCUAAUACCGCAUACGCCCUACGGGGGAAAGGAGGGGAUCUUCGGACCUUUCGCUAUGAGAUGAGCCUGCGUUAGAUUAGCUAGUUGGUAGGGUAAAGGCCUACCAAGGCGACGAUCUAUAGCUGGUCUGAGAGGACGAUCAGCCACACUGGGACUGAGACACGGCCCAGACUCCUACGGGAGGCAGCAGUGGGGAAUAUUGGACAAUGGGCGCAAGCCUGAUCCAGCAAUACCGCGUGUGUGAAGAAGGCCUUCGGGUUGUAAAGCACUUUCAAUGGGGAGGAAAACCUGCCGGUCAAUACCCGGUAGCUUGACAUUACCUUUAGAAGAAGCACCGGCUAACUCCGUGCCAGCAGCCGCGGUAAUACGGAGGGUGCGAGCGUUAAUCGGAAUUACUGGGCGUAAAGCGUGCGUAGGCGGUUCGUUAAGUCAGAUGUGAAAGCCCCGGGCUUAACCUGGGAACUGCAUUUGAAACUGGCGAACUAGAGUUGAGUAGAGGGGAGUGGAAUUUCAGGUGUAGCGGUGAAAUGCGUAGAUAUCUGAAGGAACACCAGUGGCGAAGGCGACUCCCUGGACUCAAACUGACGCUGAGGUACGAAAGCGUGGGUAGCAAACAGGAUUAGAUACCCUGGUAG
Molecule: ribosomal RNA, 786 nt
Filed under: uncultured bacterium
Lineage: Bacteria
Description: bacterial SSU rRNA
Rfam family: Bacterial small subunit ribosomal RNA
Source: RNAcentral